RNAcentral lists this ribosomal RNA (253 nucleotides) under uncultured bacterium. RNAcentral describes it as "partial 16S ribosomal RNA". It matches the Rfam family "Bacterial small subunit ribosomal RNA", at positions 524 to 776 of the family's 1533-position model. The record is from RNAcentral.
UACGGAGGGUGCAAGCGUUAUCCGGAUUCACUGGGUUUAAAGGGUGUGUAGGCGGAUAUUUAAGUCAGUGGUGAAAUCUCCGGGCUCAACCCGGAAACUGCCAUUGAUACUAUUUAUCUUGAAUUCUGUUGAGGUGGGCGGAAUACAUCAUGUAGCGGUGAAAUGCUUAGAUAUGAUGUAGAACACCGAUUGCGAAGGCAGCUCACUAAACAGAUAUUGACGCUGAGGCACGAAAGCGUGGGGAUCAAACAGG